GGUCCGUAUUUCAAUAGGCACAAUGACACAACUCAGAAUGUGCUUGCCAUUUGUGACUUCGACCGGAGGUUCACAUUUGUUGCAGCUGGGAUUCCAGGAUCAGCACAUGAUUGGGCAGUCCUUAGGGAGGCGAUGGAGAGGUGUGGUGAAAAGUUUCCACAUCCACCUCAAGGCAAGUAUUAUCUUGUGGAUGCCGGAUACACAAACAGACGUGGGUUUUUGGCACCGUACAAGGGGGUGACGUAUCAUCUGGCAGUAUGGAAACGGGCGCCUCGUCCUAGAGGUAUGAAACAAAUCUUUAACCGAGCGCAUUCCUCCCUGAGGUCAGUCAUAGAACAGUCAUUUGGUAUGGUGAAGAUAAAGUGGCGCAUUUUGUUGGGUCUUCCACAUUACUCGGAGCGCAGACAGGCUCAAAUUAUUUUGGCUUGUUGUGGACUACAUAACUUCAUUUUGGAGAACGACAAUGACGAUUUACACUAUCAUAUGGAUGAUGCCGACGAUUCCUAGGACAUAGAUGAUGUUGACGAGGACACAGGUCAUGAUGCCGUAGAGGGAGACGAGGAUGACAUGAAUGAACUCCGUGAUGAAAUAGCCGCAGGGUGCCGGAUGGCUGAACGUGCUAGCCGUGUGUGAGGUCUAUGUGUUAUUUGUUUGUAGCAUUGUUUGAGUUGUUUUUUAAUCACAAUAAUGAACGUUUUAUUUGCUAAAACCCAUGUUGGAGUUGUAACUUGUUUUAUGGAAUAAUGAUUGCCGUCAGUUAUGUGCAGUCACGCUGUUUGUAAUUCAGAUCAGUUUAAGUCUGCAGACGCAGGAGCUGAAGCAGCAUUUGCAUAACAAUAUUGUGGUUUCACUUUGGGUA
Molecule: long non-coding RNA, 859 nt
Organism: Panicum virgatum (switchgrass)
Lineage: Eukaryota; Viridiplantae; Streptophyta; Magnoliopsida; Poales; Poaceae
Exons: 2
Source: RefSeq, a predicted model, not a curated record